Molecule: ribosomal RNA, 492 nt
Filed under: uncultured bacterium
Lineage: Bacteria
Description: partial 16S ribosomal RNA
Rfam family: Bacterial small subunit ribosomal RNA
Source: RNAcentral
AGUGAACGCUGGCAGUAGGCCUAACACAUGCAAGUCGAACGGCAGCACAGUAAGGGCUUGCUCUUACGGGUGGCGAGUGGCGGACGGGUGAGGAAUACAUCGGAAUCUACUUUUUCGUGGGGGAUAACGUAGGGAAACUUACGCUAAUACCGCAUACGACCUACGGGUGAAAGCAGGGGAUCUUCGGACCUUGCGCGAUUGAAUGAGCCGAUGUCGGAUUAGCUAGUUGGCGGGGUAAAGGCCCACCAAGGCGACGAUCCGUAGCUGGUCUGAGAGGAUGGUCAGCCACACUGGAACUGAGACACGGUCCAGACUCCUACGGGAGGCAGCAGUGGGGAAUAUUGGACAAUGGGCGCAAGCCUGAUCCAGCCAUACCGCGUGGGUGAAGAAGGCCUUCGGGUUGUAAAGCCCUUUUGUUGGGAAAGAAAAGCAGCAGGUUAAUACCCCGCUGUUCUGACGGUACCCAAAGAAUAAGCACCGGCUAACUUCGUG